Molecule: long non-coding RNA, 1164 nt
Organism: Acanthopagrus latus (yellowfin seabream)
Lineage: Eukaryota; Metazoa; Chordata; Actinopteri; Spariformes; Sparidae
Exons: 5
Source: RefSeq, a predicted model, not a curated record
UAAACAUAAAGCUGGAUACGUCUCAUUAAAUAUAAAAGUGUAGAGGUAAAUUCGGCCGGAACAUAAUCCUCUAACCACAUCGAAUUAAACGCGUUAGCAAUGUUAUGUUUCGAUCGGCGCACCAAACCUCAUUGGGAUUUAGAAGGUUUUUUCUCUGCCGUGUUUAUAACCAGAAUAAUGCCGUAGUAAAUUCAAUUCGGGACGAUAUCCCAAAAUGAGUGCAUAGUUUCGUGAAGUCGGCAUGAAAGCAUUUGUAAUUAAUUGACAAAAUAAUCGUAUCACAUUGAAAUAAAUCCAUUAUGAACGUUAUGUUUGUUUGGUGCACCAAACCUCAUUGGGAUUUUGAAGGUUUUUUUCCUGUGUUGCGUUUAUUACCAGAAUAAUAUCACAGUAAAUUCAGUUUCGGACACUAUCUUAAAACAAGUCGCUAGUUUUGGUGAAGUCGGCAUGAAAUAAUGAUUAAUUUAUUGAUUUUUUUUCUCAAAGACAGCAUUAAACAUUGGCUAUCUUCACUGUAGAGUUAGGUGGUUAUGAUCACUGUUAGCUAGCUGAUAUUAAAGUUGUCACAGGUGCAUGCAGAGUUCAGGAAAGCAGCGGCUCACCUUCCUUUAAUAAUAACUGGUAACGACAUAUGAACCAGGUUACAUGUAAUGGAUUUGCAAGGACUUGCAAAGAAUGAGAAGAUUACUGAACAGUCAGAAAAAUAGUUGUUUGGAACAAAGCCCUCCCGGCCGCAGAGCGAGGCCCACCACCAGUCCGACCCUUCAGGUUUCUGCAGGAUGGUGACCAUGUCUCCCUCUUUGAAGCUCAACUCAUCGGCUGCCUGAGCCGGGUAGUUCCACAGAGCGUACAGCACCCCGCUGUUCUCCACCCCCAUGGCCUCCUCCACACCUGAAACACAGCGACCCAACAUGGGGGCUCCAGGAUGAGCACCAGGCUUUUACAUGGCGACUAAACUGUGAAAUUACAACGUCCCAUGAUGCACAGCAGCCCAAGAAGACUUUUCCCCAUGAGCUUAUUCGGAAGCUCUCACAAUCUUCAAAUCCAACGGCGUAAGGAUCACACUUCUGGGAGGCGGUCGCGCCGUCGCUCUGCGUCAUGGCCAUGACAGCAGCUCCAUUCCUCACCAAAAACUCACACAGAGGACGGUCGUUGCAAGAGGCC